UACGUAGGUGGCGAGCGUUAUUCGGAAUUACUGGGCGUAAAGGGCGCGUAGGCGGCGCUGUAAGUCAGAUGUGAAAUCCCCGGGCUCAACCGGGGAAGUGCAUCUGAUACUGCAGUGCUUGAGUAAUAGAGGGGAAGGUGGAAUUCCUAGUGUAGCAGUGAAAUGCGUAGAUAUGAGGAGGAACACCGGUGGCGAAGGCGACUUACUGGCCAUUUACUGACGCUGAGGCGCGAAAGCGUGGGGAGCAAACAGG
RNAcentral lists this ribosomal RNA (253 nucleotides) under uncultured bacterium. Its description in RNAcentral is "partial 16S ribosomal RNA". It matches the Rfam family "Bacterial small subunit ribosomal RNA", at positions 524 to 776 of the family's 1533-position model. The record is from RNAcentral.